UCUUUGGUUAUCUAGCUGAAUGAGUUUAUGUGAUAUCAUAAAGCUAGAGAACCGAAUGUA
This is a microRNA precursor of Hucho hucho (huchen), 60 nucleotides long. Lineage: Eukaryota; Metazoa; Chordata; Actinopteri; Salmoniformes; Salmonidae. The record is from Ensembl.